CAUCUGCUCUAGCAUGAGUUCCUCCGUGGGCUGCAGAUUUUUUAAUUGGUCAGAACUCCACAGAAUCUGCUCCAACUGAUGCCAAUGGCAGAAUGCCUCUUGAUGCUCAUGGGAGCUGCACUGGACCAGCCUUGUAUCCUUUCCACAUGCUUACUGUUUUUCAGGUUUCCCUGGCCAAAUAUGAUGCAUCACUCUGCACAUCUUAAUUCUGUUGGUAAAAAAACCUUUUACCCAUGAGUUUGAAGAACUUUGCAAGUCUGCAUAAAUAUAUUCAUGAAAGUUUGACUGCAGAUUAUAUAAAGAUUCCUCCAUUUUGACACAAAUCAAAUUAAUCCUCUUUGAAUCUUCACUGAAAUGAUGAUGCUAGGCUAAAUAAAUCUCUUUGAAUUCUCAUUAA
This is a long non-coding RNA of Corapipo altera (White-ruffed manakin), 397 nucleotides long. RefSeq lists it as uncharacterized. NCBI's taxonomy places the organism in Eukaryota, Metazoa, Chordata, Aves, Passeriformes, Pipridae. The record is from RefSeq and is a predicted model, not a curated record. The transcript has 3 exons.